This is a long non-coding RNA of Etheostoma spectabile (orangethroat darter), 261 nucleotides long. RefSeq lists it as uncharacterized. The transcript is spliced from 2 exons. NCBI's taxonomy places the organism in Eukaryota, Metazoa, Chordata, Actinopteri, Perciformes, Percidae. The record is from RefSeq and is a predicted model, not a curated record.
AUUGGCAUCGCCAUUGCCCUGUCAGGGGUCCCUGUCUACUUCCUGGGGGUCUAUCUACCAGAAUCCAAACGGCCGCCGAUGAUCACCAAGCUACUGCGUUCUCUGACUCUCUCCACCCAGUACACCUGCUACUGUGUACAGACUACAGAGAUGGACAAAAGUGAAUAGCAUCCGAAACACUUUAAAACUCGAGCCAGCAGUCUCUACAAUCCUCACAGCUGACAGCAACCGGGGGCAGCCAGGCGGGGGAUUCUUCUUUGG